Cavia porcellus (domestic guinea pig) is the source of this 711-nucleotide long non-coding RNA. RefSeq lists it as uncharacterized. The record is from RefSeq and is a predicted model, not a curated record. NCBI's taxonomy places the organism in Eukaryota, Metazoa, Chordata, Mammalia, Rodentia, Caviidae. The transcript is spliced from 3 exons.
UGCAGCGGCAGAUGAAAACAAGUAAUUUAUUUUAUUUGGAAUAUUUUAUUACCAAGUGGUGGCUUGGUUUUAGUCAGAUGGAAUAGCUUUUAUGACAUAGAUACUGCAGAACUGACCUUCCAGACAUCUGCUUAGCUGCCUGGCCUUCUCUUCCCAGAGGAACCCCAACAUCUGGCGCCUGAACAGGAACAUGACAGUGGAGACGUCUGCUGUGGAGGGCAACCUGCCUUCACUAUGUUCUUGGGUGGGACUUGGCCCCCAACACAUCAACUUCAUUUUCUUUGGAAAAUCCCCCGUGAGUCAUGGGGAAUUCCCUGCCUGAAGCACAGCAGAAACAUAAAGGCAGAGUUGCUUUUUCUCCUUAAGAAGGUCACGACAUGGAAGAGAAAGAUCUAUGAAUACAGGAAGAGCUCAAACAUCCAAAGCACACAGAACACCAGCACUAACUUUACAGGGUAAAGGAUGCCUUCCCUGGGCGCUGGGCAUGUAUGCGUGUGAGUGAGUAGGUACAGGUGUACUCUGUCUCCGUCCCGCUGCAGUGCUAUGAGACUCCUUGGGGAAAACUGAUGCCACAGUUCAGGUGACAGAUACCUGGACUACGUCAACGAUAAGAAUAAUUUUUAAAUACAUAAAUUUUACCUAGCAAGUUAGACCUGAAAAGGGAAAAAGAAAAACGGCAGAAAAUAAGACAGAGAGGCAUUUACUUUUGAG